UACAGAGGGUGCGAGCGUUAAUCGGAAUUACUGGGCGUAAAGCGUGCGUAGACGGUUAUUUAAGUCGGGUGUGAAAGCCCCGGGCUCAACCUGGGAAUUGCAUUCGAGACUGAAUAGCUAGGGUACGGUAGAGGGAAGUGGAAUUUCCGGUGUAGCGGUGAAAUGCGUAGAGAUGUGGAGGAACACCAGUGGCGAAGGCGACUCUUUGGCCUGUAACUGACGCUGAGGCGCGAAAGCGUGGGGAGCGAACAGG
RNAcentral lists this ribosomal RNA (253 nucleotides) under uncultured bacterium. RNAcentral's name for it is "partial 16S ribosomal RNA". It matches the Rfam family "Bacterial small subunit ribosomal RNA", at positions 524 to 776 of the family's 1533-position model. The record is from RNAcentral.